Canis lupus familiaris (dog) is the source of this 1866-nucleotide long non-coding RNA. RefSeq lists it as uncharacterized. The record is from RefSeq and is a predicted model, not a curated record. The transcript has 11 exons. NCBI's taxonomy places the organism in Eukaryota, Metazoa, Chordata, Mammalia, Carnivora, Canidae.
CGCCCCCCGGGUCCCGGGGAGCCGGGCCUGGCGCCCCUGGUUAUGGGGCCGAAGGGCCCCGGGAAAUGGCAGAGGCGCAGCGACGAGCAUUAGAGAAGGGAAAUUUGUUGAGACUGGACGGAAUUAAAAGAAUGUAUUUAAGUGACUUCCUUUCAUACUCCAAUGCCAUUCUUGAUGCACAGAGAGUGUCAGAUGACAUCCACUUCUCUCUCCUGAGAUAACUCUGGAAUAACUCUUGAGCUUUCACAAUUUCAUAUAAUCGAUGACUAUGAAGUUUUACAGCAUGUUAUCUUUUUGCUUCAGUUGAAUGACUUCCUUUGGGAACAAUCCAUAAGAGAGAGGAAUUUUUUUUUUUUUUUAAAGAGAAUGGAAAGCAACAACAGCUGGGUGUGAUCCUAUCAGCGGGAAACAUCCUCACUCCUGGCUGAUUCACAAAUUGCCCCUGUCUUGCUUGCCAUUUCAAAUAGAGAGACAGAACAUAGAAUGGACGAGAAAAUUAAAGAGGCUUCAGAUACACACAAAUUCUACUCACGGAGCAAUGGAGCAUCAGCUGGUGUAGGGAUGCUGGACAGCCCAUGGGAGCCGGAAGUCUAUAACCUUCUUCAAUGGACAGAAUGACCUAAAUGCAAACAUACACAGAUCAUUACACCAGGACCAUUACAUAAUAAAGAAGAGUUUGGAAAAUCUAAUCAGAGACAAAAAUUGGAAAUGACUGGACUCUCUGAGUCAUAAAAUCAUACUGCAUUUCUAAGACCCGCUUGGCAACUCCAGCCCGUAUCAGCAUCCCAGUUUUCUCCUCUAGAGUCACUAGCCCGCCCCCUACAGUGAUCUUCUCACAGAAAAGCUUUGAGGAGCCAGAGGCAACAAAUGGAUUGUCGGUAGACAAGCUCUGAGUCAGUUCCUAUAAUUCAGACUCGUCUUGUCCAGGUUGAGGAAAUCUGUCUGCUUUGGUGCAGCGAGUUCUGUUCUAUGCCUACCUUCCUGCCAUGGCACGACCAGCGCCCUCCCGAGACCGAAGACAUUAUUUCACACAUCUGCUUCUCUCGUGAGUAUAACAGAAGAAUGAAGAAUGUUCGUCUGUCAUCCAAGAACAUUAUCUGUGGUUAGAUGCUGGCAGCCAGAUUUCUGCCUACAGCUGGAUCUGCCUGAUAAUGAUUCUCCAAGUAAAUCCUGCCUUUCCCUGAGUGUUUCUCUUCUCUUCGUUGGUGGGGUUUGAUACAGUGGGCUUUCACUCCUUGUGCCAAGGACCUUUGUGUAGGUGUUCCCUGAGGUCUCGCAGGGUUUUGGAUGUUACUGACUCCAUAGCUGACCAGCUGUUUGGCUUUGGGCUGAAAUGGGCCUACAGCUGUCUCAUCAAGGGCUGUGAUACAUCAGAUAGAGCAGCACUGUGACCUCAAAUUACCCAUUGUCAAAAAGGCGAGCUCUGAGUGUACGGCCGAGGAGGGGAGACAAGAUGACAUAAUGACAUCUUUAGAGGCAGCCUGUUUGGGGCCAGCCACUCAACAGAGGAGAGGCACAAUCUUCCGAAAAACUGAGGAAGCAUUACUCUAUGGAAAGGACGGGGCUCAGGAGCUCACAUCCAAAGGCCGAUACACCUGACACCAAAGCAGAGGAGGAUCAGCUGUUUGGGAUGGCCAUGGGAAGAAGCAGAAAGAUGACACAACAGAGCAGAUUUUCCCAGUGAAUAAAUUUUGGAGAAGCAAUGCUUGUAAAAUAAGCUUCCAGCUUGUUUUGCUCAGACUUUAAGUGUAUCACUUCGGUUCUGAAGCCUUGUUCAUUGCGGACAGCAGAUGGCUCUGGAGGACAUAUCUGAAAUGCUGAGUGACGGAAUCUGGAUGUAUUUGGCUGCAGACAGAACGAAGAAAG